RNAcentral lists this ribosomal RNA (563 nucleotides) under Chidaea orangensis. RNAcentral's name for it is "SSU rRNA". It matches the Rfam family "Eukaryotic small subunit ribosomal RNA", at positions 24 to 559 of the family's 1831-position model. RNAcentral also lists the same sequence under 1 other name. Lineage: Eukaryota; Metazoa; Arthropoda; Insecta; Hemiptera; Cixiidae. The record is from RNAcentral.
UCAUAUGCUUGUCUCAAAGAUUAAGCCAUGCAAGUCUCAGUACAAGCCGAAUUAAGGUGAAACCGCAAAAGGCUCAUUAAAUCAGUUAUGGUUCCUUGGAUCGUACAAUCCAUUACUUGGAUAACUGUGGUAAUUCUAGAGCUAAUACAUGCAAACAGAGUCCCGACCAGAAAUGGAAGGGACGCUUUUAUUAGAUCAAAACCAAUCGACGUCCGUCCGAUUCGUCGGCGGCGCCGUACUCCUUGGUGACUCUGAAUAACUUUUGGCAGAUCGCACGGUCUCCGAACCGGCGACGCAUCCUUCAAAUGUCUGCCUUAUCAACUGUCGAUGGUAGGUUCUGCGCCUACCAUGGUUGUAACGGGUAACGGGGAAUCAGGGUUCGAUUCCGGAGAGGGAGCCUGAGAAACGGCUACCACAUCCAAGGAAGGCAGCAGGCGCGCAAAUUACCCACUCCCGGCACGGGGAGGUAGUGACGAAAAAUAACGAUACGGGACUCAUCCGAGGCCCCGUAAUCGGAAUGAGUAUACUCUAAAUCCUUAUACAAGUAUCCAUUGGAGGGCAAG